AUUGAACGCUGGCGGAAUGCUUUACACAUGCAAGUCGAACGGCAGCACGGGGGCAGCCCUGGUGGCGAGUGGCGAACGGGUGAGUAAUACAUCGGAACGUGCCCGGUCGUGGGGGAUAACGUAGCGAAAGUUACGCUAAUACCGCAUACGAUCUGAGGAUGAAAGCGGGGGACCUUCGGGCCUCGCGCGAUCGGAGCGGCCGAUGUCAGAUUAGGUAGUUGGUGGGGUAAAGGCCUACCAAGCCGACGAUCUGUAGCUGGUCUGAGAGGACGACCAGCCACACUGGAACUGAGACACGGCCCAGACUCCUACGGGAGGCAGCAGUGGGGAAUUUUGGACAAUGGGCGCAAGCCUGAUCCAGCCAUUCCGCGUGCAGGACGAAGGCCUUCAGGUUGUAAACUGCUUUUGUACGGAACGAAAAGGCUCUGGCUAAUACCUGGGGCUCAUGACGGUACCGAAAGAAUAAGCACCGGCUAACUACGUG
Molecule: ribosomal RNA, 484 nt
Filed under: uncultured bacterium
Lineage: Bacteria
Description: partial 16S ribosomal RNA
Rfam family: Bacterial small subunit ribosomal RNA
Source: RNAcentral